RNAcentral lists this ribosomal RNA (492 nucleotides) under uncultured bacterium. RNAcentral describes it as "partial 16S ribosomal RNA". It matches the Rfam family "Bacterial small subunit ribosomal RNA", at positions 29 to 507 of the family's 1533-position model. The record is from RNAcentral.
AGUGAACGCUGGCGGUAGACCUAACACAUGCAAGUCGAACGGCAGCACAGUAAGAGCUUGCUCUUACGGGUGGCGAGUGGCGGACGGGUGAGGAAUACAUCGGAAUCUACUUUUUCGUGGGGGAUAACGUAGGGAAACUUACGCUAAUACCGCAUACGACCUACGGGUGAAAGCAGGGGAUCUUCGGGCCUUGCGCGAUUGAAUGAGCCGAUGUCGGAUUAGCUAGUUGGCGGGGUAAAGGCCCACCAAGGCGACGAUCCGUAGCUGGUCUGAGAGGAUGAUCAGCCACACUGGAACUGAGACACGGUCCAGACUCCUACGGGAGGCAGCAGUGGGGAAUAUUGGACAAUGGGCGCAAGCCUGAUCCAGCCAUACCGCGUGGGUGAAGAAGGCCUUCGGGUUGUAAAACCCUUUUGUUGGGAAAGAAAAGCAGCAGGUUAAUACCCCGCUGUUCUGACGGUACCCAAAGAAUAAGCACCGGCUAACUUCGUG